UUCCGUCCCCACCCACUCCGCUCGGGGAAUA
RNAcentral lists this small RNA (31 nucleotides) under Bombyx mori (domestic silkworm). RNAcentral's name for it is "ovarian small RNA-9601". The record is from RNAcentral. Lineage: Eukaryota; Metazoa; Arthropoda; Insecta; Lepidoptera; Bombycidae.